This 539-nucleotide ribosomal RNA is filed under the name uncultured bacterium. RNAcentral describes it as "bacterial SSU rRNA". It matches the Rfam family "Bacterial small subunit ribosomal RNA", at positions 355 to 895 of the family's 1533-position model. The record is from RNAcentral.
UGAGGAAUAUUGGUCAAUGGGCGCGAGCCUGAACCAGCCAAGUAGCGUGCAGGAUGACGGCCCCAUGGGUUGUAAACUGCUUUUGUAUGGGGAUAAAGUCAAUCACGUGUGAUUGUUUGCAGGUACCAUACGAAUAAGGACCGGCUAAUUCCGUGCCAGCAGCCGCGGUAAUACGGAAGGUCCGGGCGUUAUCCGGAUUUAUUGGGUUUAAAGGGAGCGUAGGCCGGAGAUUAAGUGUGUUGUGAAAUGUAGACGCUCAACGUCUGACUUGCAGCGCAUACUGGUUUCCUUGAGUACGCACAACGUUGGCGGAAUUCGUCGUGUAGCGGUGAAAUGCUUAGAUAUGACGAAGAACUCCGAUUGCGAAGGCAGCUGACGGGAGCGCAACUGACGCUUAAGCUCGAAGGUGCGGGUAUCGAACAGGAUUAGAUACCCUGGUAGUCCGCACAGUAAACGAUGGAUGCCCGCUGUUGGUACCUGGUAUCAGCGGCUAAGCGAAAGCAUUAAGCAUCCCACCUGGGGAGUACGCCGGCAACGGU